CCCCCGUACGCCUCACUUCUCCCUUUUUUGAGGCACAACCUCAUUUUCUCCUUCCCUUACCAGACUUACCCCACACAAGACAAGGGACGCCAUUUUUUCGACAAGGUUCCAGCAACCCCUUGGCACAAUAGUGUAGCCAAUACCAUCUCUGAGCCACCCCACAUCAUUCAGGCCAUAGACAUUGCUCUUCCUCUCAUUCACCCAAAAAAGAAAAGGAUCAAUACAAGCGCUGUGUCUUCUCUGCGUCCUGCACCAACACGCAGCCAUCACCAAACAGUCACAGUUCCUCUAUGCACCGUGAGCAUGCACCAGCCAUAGCAGCAUCGUCGUUCAGAACUCUAGCAACCGUGAGCAAGUUCAAGCCAGAAGCAACAGAGGGAACCCUUCUUCCCUUUCCUCCUCGCCUAAAGCAUCAACCACCGGCAUUAGCUACACCCUGCACUGCCAGCAACGACUUUCUCUUCUCAGUAGUGACAGCAUAGACUUCAGUAGCUUGAGCAGCAGCCAUCGUGAGCAAAAGCAGCUGUUUCUCCUCGACCACGGUUGCAGUCAUCCCUCCUCAGCACUAGCAACAACGAGACUAGUAGAGAGAGAGAGAAAGACGGGACAAAAAAAAAGGAAAAGACAGAGAGAACAAAAGGGGAGCGCAGGGGACGAAUACAAGGGACAGACAGAGAGAGACCAGAGAGAAGAAAGAUCAGAGGAAAAAAAAGAAGGAAGAAUAGAAACAGGGAGAGGGAAGCAUUGAUCGCCCAAGAGACCAUCACCUCCCGUUUUCGUCUCCAGCAGCACGCCCAGGCAAGUCUUCUUUCCCCUGCUUUUGCAAAUUCUAUUAACCCAUUCAUGUAGCAAGCCUGCACGCCUGCUGCUUUGCCCAGCCGGGAACCUGCUUGUCAUAACCAUCUUUUUAACAGCGCAGACACCACCUACUUGUUGGAGAAGAAAAAUAAAGCCAAAGAAAAAUCUCGCGUGAAAAGAUAAGAAAUUAAAAAUAAAAUUAUUAUAUAAUCCAUAAUAAAAUAAUUUUUAAUCUAUAAUAAUAUCCCCAAACUAUUUAGCUUUUGUUAUGAUAAACUAGUCAUGACUACAGUAUUUCUUUCUCUGUUAAAGCAUCCUGUGUAAUAAUAAAAAAAUAAAUAAAUAAAGAAAGAAAGAAAAAGCAUCCCGUCAUCUGCUUCAGGGCUACGCAAAUGGAAGAUCUACGCAACCCAAUCUCCCGCAACUGCAAGAUCCGAUGGCAACGUAGUAAAUAGAACCGGCCUCGAGGUUUUUACCAUACCCCUACCUUUAGUCAACAGUAAUACAGCACAGUAACAUUAAAUUAUAUUACAUUCACUCUCCUUUUAAUUUUAAUUUAAAUUAAUAGAGGAAUUAUUAUCUCGACUAAUUAUUAUAUUUUAUACUUAGAUUGUUUUCAUAAAUCUAACCUUAUAUCUUAAAUUAUUCUCUAAUUUAUCUCCUCAUUAAAUCUUUUAUGCAAAUGACUCCAGACACUAAAAUCCAUUUAAUUUAUAAAGAAAAAUUAAAACUGAAAAUAAAUCUCCUUAUGGUGUUGAAAUUCAAAUAUUUUUCAUAGUUAUUUUAUAAUAAAUUAGGUUACAUUUGAAUUUGGAUUUCUCAUGUAAAAGUAUUUUUUUUAUCAAUUUAAAUAAGAAUAUUUAAUAAAAUAAUAGAUUAAAUAACGACUCUAUUACUAAGAGAUAAAUUAAAAACAAAUAGAUAUAUUGGUACUAUAUAUUAAAUAUAAAACCAAGUUGAGCUACUUACUUUUAUAGGGAAAAUGUCAUAAAAGUCUAUAACAUUUAGAAUUAAUUUUAAUUAGAUCCCAAAUCUAGUUUUCAUCUCAAUUAGGACCAAAUGUAGCAAUGAAUACUCAAUUAGAUUCUUCGAUCGUCUUUAGUCAACAAAAUUGUUUAGUAAAUAAUUUAAAUUCUAUAAGAUCAUGCAAAAAUCACCAAAUUAUAUAUAAAAAAACAAUAUUCUUACAUUUAUUUAUAUAAUCUGUCUUAUUUCGUGAUGGUAUAAAUAUAAAUUACAUGUUUUAUUUAACCAUUAUAUUAAUAUAAACUAAUAGAAGGAUUCGAUUGAACAUCUAUCGAUAUUUCAGGGACUUAAUUGAGAUACAAAAUACAUGGGGG
RNAcentral lists this long non-coding RNA (2138 nucleotides) under Populus trichocarpa (black cottonwood). RNAcentral's name for it is "long non-coding RNA (PTRI_LNC000776)". The record is from RNAcentral. Lineage: Eukaryota; Viridiplantae; Streptophyta; Magnoliopsida; Malpighiales; Salicaceae.